CCUACGGGAGGCAGCAGUGGGGAAUAUUGCACAAUGGGCGCAAGCCUGAUGCAGCCAUGCCGCGUGUGUGAAGAAGGCCUUCGGGUUGUAAAGCACUUUCAGCGGGGAGGAAGGCGGUGAGGUUAAUAACCUCAUCGAUUGACGUUACCCGCAGAAGAAGCACCGGCUAACUCCGUGCCAGCAGCCGCGGUAAUACGGAGGGUGCAAGCGUUAAUCGGAAUUACUGGGCGUAAAGCGCACGCAGGCGGUCUGUCAAGUCGGAUGUGAAAUCCCCGGGCUCAACCUGGGAACUGCAUUCGAAACUGGCAGGCUAGAGUCUUGUAGAGGGGGGUAGAAUUCCAGGUGUAGCGGUGAAAUGCGUAGAGAUCUGGAGGAAUACCGGUGGCGAAGGCGGCCCCCUGGACAAAGACUGACGCUCAGGUGCGAAAGCGUGGGAGCAAACAGGAUUAGAUACCCCUGUAGUC
RNAcentral lists this ribosomal RNA (464 nucleotides) under uncultured Klebsiella sp. Its description in RNAcentral is "bacterial SSU rRNA". It matches the Rfam family "Bacterial small subunit ribosomal RNA", at positions 338 to 795 of the family's 1533-position model. Lineage: Bacteria; Pseudomonadati; Pseudomonadota; Gammaproteobacteria; Enterobacterales; Enterobacteriaceae. The record is from RNAcentral.